AACGUAGGACGCAAGCGUUAUCCGGAGUUACUGGGCGUAAAGAGCGUGUAGGCGGUGACGUAAGUUACCUAUGAAAGCUCCCGGCUAAACUGGGAGAGGAUAGGUGAUACUGCGUGACUAGAGAGUGAAAGAGGACAGUGGAAUUCCGGGUGUAGUGGUGAAAUGCGUAGAUAUCCGGAGGAACACCGGUGGCGAAGGCGACUGUCUGGUUCACAACUGACGCUAAGACGCGAAAGCAUGGGUAGCGAACGGG
RNAcentral lists this unclassified non-coding RNA (253 nucleotides) under uncultured Anaerolineae bacterium. RNAcentral describes it as "contains 16S-23S intergenic spacer region". It matches the Rfam family "Bacterial small subunit ribosomal RNA", at positions 524 to 776 of the family's 1533-position model. The record is from RNAcentral. Lineage: Bacteria; Bacillati; Chloroflexota; Anaerolineae.